AAAAAUCCUGACCACAUAUGGACAUGGAAGCAUGCCACCACUAGAAGGCAAGAACCAAUCAAUUCCAACUGUCUUCUCCAGCUCCUCCAACAGUGUUCAGUCUGCGAGGAGAAGAGCCAUGGCAUUCUCAAUCUCAACACCCACUUACCAUUUCAACUGUUUUAGCUCAUCAGAUCUUCCCUCCUCUCCCUCUUCAUCCUUCAGGCCUUUCAAAUUCCCUCUCUUCUGGCCCUGGCAAAAGGUGAAGAUGGGUACUCUCACUGUCUCUCCAAUGGGGUUUGGAACAUGGGCUUGGGGGAACCAGCUUCUGUGGGGUUAUAAGGAAUCAAUGGACACUGAUCUUCAACAGACUUUCAAUUUGGCUGUGGAGAAUGGAAUCAAUCUUUUUGAUACUGCUGAUUCUUAUGGGACUGGCAGGUUAAAUGGGCAGAGUGAAAAGCUUCUUGGCAAGUUCAUUCGAGAAUUUCCAGGUCAGGAUCUCUUUUUGGUUGGAUUUUUUUCAGAGAUAGAUAAAGGAUCUUUGGAUUGCUUUUAACAAAUUUUCUCAGGAAAACGGAUGCAAGAUGACAUUGUGAUUGCAACAAAGUUUGCUGCAUAUCCAUGGCGUCUUACACCAGGGCAGUUUGUGAAAGCUUGCAGGUAAACUUCCUUUUUCUGUUUUCUUGUGCCUUCCUUUGUUUUUAUUAAAUUUGCCUGUGAUGUGUUCGAUCAACACAUAUACCAUUCUCGGAGACACAUAUUAGAGGGGAAAUUGGGCAAGAGGGAAUAAAGAAAAAAGGGAAAAUUGCACAAGAAUUAGGAAGAGAGAAGGGAAGAGAGACUCGAAGGUUGUGAAGAGAAUCUGUUGAUGUGUACACUACUGACAUAAUCAGUCUGACUAAAACUUGUAGCUAGCUGAAAUUUCUUGUUUUUCAACACCUUCUUACCAUUCAAAUAUCUUCAGAUAAUUUCUGUGGUAUGAUAAAAUCUGAUAAGGAAUGGUUUUCCAGGGCAUCAAUGGAGAGGUUGCAACUUAAGCAAAUAGGCAUAGGUCAGCUACACUGGUCGACUGUAAACUAUGCUCCUCCACAAGAGUUAGCUCUCUGGGAUGGUUUAGUGGCAAUGUAUGAGAAGGUUAACAUAAUUUACUUUUAAUAAUAAAAUCAUUCUUUUCUGCAAAUGUUUUUCAGUAUGGUUAAAGAGACAUUGCAAGUGAAUAUAAGUCUAGUGAAUAGAAGUCUAUCUAUGCUCUUGUUCAUGGAAAAAUGAAUAGUAUUUUUAUGUACAUAUGUUUAUAUUUUGUUGUAAUAAUUACUAGUUGAUAUUUAUGAGACCUAUUCAUUAUACCCUUUGGACCGUUUCUUUAAAAUCCAAGGAAUAGAUUACAAUAUCUUUUUCCCAUCCUUCUUAAUAAAGAAUUUUGUCUUCCUUUGAUAUUCCUAGUGUUGACUCAAUAUCUUAAGCUUUCCAAAUUCCCUUCCAGAAUCCGUAUGGUUAAACUCAUGAAUGGCAUACUUUAGGGUUUAGUUCAAGCUGUUGGAGUGAGCAAUUAUGGACCGAAGCAACUUGUAAAGAUACAUGACUACCUCAAAGCCCGAGGAGUAACCCUAUGCUCAGCUCAGGUAUUAUUAUGGAUUAUCUGGUGAUGUAUGAUAUGACUUAGUAGACAAAAUUAAUUGUCACUCUAACAUGCAUGCCUGAACUCAGAAUGAUGGUGGUUGGCAUCACUCUAUUGGUUAUUGUAGAUUAUUUGCCUAUAGCAUAUAUAGCACCAUUUAUCUGACAUUCAUGAAGAUCCUGUCUUAGGUGCAAUUUUCUUUACUAAGCAUGGGAAAAGAUCAGAUAGAAAUCAGGAAUAUAUGCGACUCUCUGGGAAUUCGCUUGAUUGCUUAUAGUCCUUUAGGACUUGGAAUGCUUACUGGGAAAUAUACUUCUUCAAGACUCCCUCUUGGGCCUAGGUACAUGGAUUUAUCAAGUUUUUACUUCUUGUAGUUGACAAAAGAGGAAGACAAGUCAAGUAUGAUAUAUUUCAUUUAUUAUGGACUCCGUCUAAAAACAUUUGCUGUCUCCUAUUAUUCAGGGCCUUGUUAUUCAGACAAAUUCUUCCAGGAUUAGAGCCUUUACUGAGUUCAUUGAGAGAAAUUGCACAGAAAAGGAAUAAAACUCUGCCACAGGUUUUAUUUUACACUUCCUUUUGCCGUUCCUUGUCAUUAAUACUUAUUGGAAUAUUGAUGGAAAAUAUGUGAAAUUAAUUUCAAUAAUUAUUCUAAUGGAGUUUCUUGUCUGAUAGAAUUUUCAUGACAUCUAGGAUUUAAGGAACUUUGGUUGAAAUGUCAUGGGAACCGUUUCACGUACAACAAAAUGAUGGAUGCAUUCCCACAGUUUAUCACAGUGGGACACACAUGGAAUUCACCAUAAUCAAAUACUUCCAACAGUUAUAUUAAAUAAUUUUCCAGAGGAAGCAGAGUUCUACAAGCUGUUUUGUUAAAUUUACUAAUGCACCUUGUAUCAAGCAUUUAGGCCUCGUUUGGGGUGGAGAUUCAGAGGCCGAAAAACACUUUUGAAAAAUCAACAUUUUAGAUAUUAUUGAAAAAAUUAGUUUGAGAGAAGAUGUUUAAAACAUGUCAAAUUUAACUUUA
RNAcentral lists this unclassified non-coding RNA (2618 nucleotides) under Hevea brasiliensis (rubber tree). Lineage: Eukaryota; Viridiplantae; Streptophyta; Magnoliopsida; Malpighiales; Euphorbiaceae. The record is from RNAcentral.